RNAcentral lists this ribosomal RNA (458 nucleotides) under uncultured bacterium. RNAcentral's name for it is "bacterial SSU rRNA". It matches the Rfam family "Bacterial small subunit ribosomal RNA", at positions 29 to 530 of the family's 1533-position model. The record is from RNAcentral.
AACGAACGCUGGCGGCAUGCCUAACACAUGCAAGUCGAACGAGACCUUCGGGUCUAGUGGCGCACGGGUGCGUAACGCGUGGGAAUCUGCCCUUGGGUUCGGAAUAAACUUCGGGAAACUGAAGCUAAUACCGGAUGAUGACGUAAGUCCAAAGAUUUAUCGCCCAAGGAUGAGCCCGCGUAGGAUUAGCUAGUUGGUGAGGUAAAGGCUCACCAAGGCGACGAUCCUUAGCUGGUCUGAGAGGAUGAUCAGCCACACUGGGACUGAGACACGGCCCAGACUCCUACGGGAGGCAGCAGUGGGGAAUAUUGGACAAUGGGCGAAAGCCUGAUCCAGCAAUGCCGCGUGAGUGAUGAAGGCCUUAGGGUUGUAAAGCUCUUUUACCCGGGUAUGAUAAUGACAGUACCGGGAGAAUAAGCUCCGGCUAACUCCGUGCCAGCAGCCGCGGUAAUGUGACU